ACUCCUACGGGAGGCAGCAGUGGGGAAUAUUGCACAAUGGGCGCAAGCCUGAUGCAGCCAUGCCGCGUGUAUGAAGAAGGCCUUCGGGUUGUAAAGUACUUUCAGCAGUGGAGGAGGAUGAUAGUUAAUAGCAUAUUCAUUUGACGUUAGCUGCAGAAGAAGCACCGGCUAACUCCGUGCCAGCAGCCGCGGUAAUACGGAGGGUGCGAGCGUUAAUCGGAAUUACUGGGCGUAAAGCGCAUGCAGGUGGUUUGUUAAGUCAGAUGUGAAAGCCCGGGGCUCAACCUCGGAAUUGCAUUUGAAACUGGCAAACUAGAGUACUGUAGAGGGGGGUAGAAUUUCAGGUGUAGCGGUGAAAUGCGUAGAGAUCUGAAGGAAUACCGGUGGCGAAGGCGGCCCCCUGGACAGAUACUGACACUCAGAUGCGAAAGCGUGGGGAGCAAACAGGAUUAGAUACCCUGGUAGCUACGAGU
This 473-nucleotide ribosomal RNA is filed under the name uncultured bacterium. RNAcentral describes it as "bacterial SSU rRNA". It matches the Rfam family "Bacterial small subunit ribosomal RNA", at positions 335 to 802 of the family's 1533-position model. The record is from RNAcentral.